RNAcentral lists this long non-coding RNA (341 nucleotides) under Physcomitrium patens. RNAcentral's name for it is "long non-coding RNA (PPAT_LNC006285)". Lineage: Eukaryota; Viridiplantae; Streptophyta; Bryopsida; Funariales; Funariaceae. The record is from RNAcentral.
CUGAAAUUGAAACUAUAGAUGACGUACUAGAAGUAGCCUUUACUAAAUUCCUAAACAAUCUAGACAAAAGAUGUAGUUGGAAUAUUCAGGGGCAACAAAACAUGUUACUAGUUCAAAACAAUGUCUAAACUUCAUUGAAACUAUGGAAAACAAAAACAAAUCAGUAACCAUUGCAUUGUAGGAAGAGAGAAACACAAUAUUGAAGGAAUAAGAGAUGGUUACUAAUGUACAAGAGAAGGACAAAUAAAGUUGGAUGAUGUUCUUUAUAUAUAGUCUCUGAAGAGAAAUCUAAUGUUGGUAGGCACGCUAACUAACAAAAGUAAUUUGAUUGUUUUCAUCAA